GUCUUUGUAUUGUCACUUCAGGGUCAUUGUCAUUUGAGUUCUCUUUGCACCUUGUUCUGGUUUUCCAGUGUGUGGGUUCUGUUGUUGUUGUCUUCGUCGUCGUUUUGUGUAUUUUUUUUUUUCAAAUUUGCUUUCCCUUUACCCUGAUUUUUUCCUGGGAAAAUGACCCGAAGCCCGUGUUUUAGGCAAGCAAGAUCUAUGAUAGUACUUUUCCAUGCCUCCUUCAGAGCUGUGUCUGAUUAGCCUGACUCAGACCAGGCCUUUCAAGUCACAGUAUGUUUCGUAAGGAGUUGUCAACCAGGCAGGACACAAAGUCAUUCAGUCCAAAUGCAGAAUGAGGGAUCAACAAAUAGUCCAAAACCAAGUGUCUAAAGGCACUAUGGGCCUUCUGUGAAAAGGGAGAAAAAAAGCAAGCAAGCCUCCAUCCCUGGGAAGAAAGAUUUCCUGGCCAGGGACUAAAGCCUUCUUAUCCCUCAAUAAAACAACCAUAGUAAUUGCCCAGAAAUGCCAGUUACAGCCAGCCCAGUGGUGUGGCAGAUAAGGUCCCAAGAAGAAGCUGAUUAGAAAUUGUAAGCAUUGUUUAACUUGAUACUGUAUUUCAAAACACAGCCCUUGUUUUGCUUGGUUGGUUCUUUGUUUUGCUGUCCUGAUAGCAAAGUCAGUGCCUUGCGCAUGCUAAGCAAACAAACACUCUGCUGCUUUGCUUCAAACCUUUGUACUUUUAAAUUUAGAGACAGAGCCUUGCUCAUUUUGAUAGGCAGGUCCUCACCGCGUGACCUUCUGCUUUAGCCUCCCAGACAUCUGGGCGAUGGGCACAGACCACCGAGCCUGGAUGCCUAUUUUUCUUUUUAAUGUAUAUAAAAUUUGUGUUCAUAAGAAUGGGAUUGAAUAUCUUUAUCUAUUUUCUUUGUCCCUUCUUUAGAAGGAAACUGCUACUUUGUACUGGAGGGCAUGGGUAUAAUAAAGGGAUUAAUGUAUGCAAAAUAUUUGAAAGUACAGGUUAAUAUUACGGCUACAAACCUGGUUAGUUGUUUAAGCAGUACACAUAAAACCCAGGAAAUUUGUGCUAGGCAAGGCCGGGGCACAAAGGGCCCAUGCUUAGCCUGGCAGUCACUGCAGUGUGACCCAAGGUGCACUUCUCAACCCUUCCCUGGACUUCUGCUCUCAUGAAUUAAUGUUUGAAUAACAGUCAGUUAUAUCUCUAAUAGUUUUUAUUCUACACAGAAAAUACAUAUUUUAAAAGUAGGCUGCUUCAUUUUGAAUGUGCAGGUGUUUGUAAGGAAUCAACCCAGGAGAAAUAAAACUGGCCAGGACUAGAGAGUCCCCAUACUGACAGAUGGGUAUUACAUGUUUUAGCCUUCCUGCUUUUCCCAUAAUGUAAAUCU
This 1385-nucleotide long non-coding RNA is filed under the name Mus musculus (house mouse). RNAcentral's name for it is "long non-coding RNA chr13:19139432-19140817". Lineage: Eukaryota; Metazoa; Chordata; Mammalia; Rodentia; Muridae. The record is from RNAcentral.